AGCUUGCUAUUUUUAUGAAGAGCGGCGAACGGGUGAGUAACGCGUGGGAAAUCUGCCGAGUAGCGGGGGACAACGUUUGGAAACGAACGCUAAUACCGCAUAACAAUGAGAAUCGCAUGAUUCUUAUUUAAAAGAAGCAAUUGCUUCACUACUUGAUGAUCCCGCGUUGUAUUAGCUAGUUGGUAGUGUAAAGGACUACCAAGGCGAUGAUACAUAGCCGACCUGAGAGGGUGAUCGGCCACACUGGGACUGAGACACGGCCCAGACUCCUACGGGAGGCAGCAGUAGGGAAUCUUCGGCAAUGGGGGCAACCCUGACCGAGCAACGCCGCGUGAGUGAAGAAGGUUUUCGGAUCGUAAAACUCUGUUGUUAGAGAAGAACGUUAAGUAGAGUGGAAAAUUACUUAAGUGACGGUAUCUAACCAGAAAGGGACGGCUAACUACGUGCCAGCAGCCGCGGUAAUACGUAGGUCCCAAGCGUUGUCCGGAUUUAUUGGGCGUAAAGCGAGCGCAGGUGGUUUCUUAAGUCUGAUGUAAAAGGCAGUGGCUCAACCAUUGUGUGCAUUGGAAACUGGGAGACUUGAGUGCAGGAGAGGAGAGUGGAA
Molecule: ribosomal RNA, 604 nt
Filed under: Lactococcus garvieae
Lineage: Bacteria; Bacillati; Bacillota; Bacilli; Lactobacillales; Streptococcaceae
Description: bacterial SSU rRNA
Rfam family: Bacterial small subunit ribosomal RNA
Source: RNAcentral